Molecule: transfer RNA, 72 nt
Filed under: Desmophyllum pertusum
Lineage: Eukaryota; Metazoa; Cnidaria; Anthozoa; Scleractinia; Caryophylliidae
Description: tRNA-Trp
Rfam family: tRNA
About the family: Transfer RNA (tRNA) molecules are approximately 80 nucleotides in length. Their secondary structure includes four short double-helical elements and three loops (D, anti-codon, and T loops).
Source: RNAcentral
GACACGGUGCUCAAAUGGUAAGCGCGUUGGACUCCAAAUCGAGCGGUCUGGGUUCAAGCCCUGGCUGGGUCA